This 628-nucleotide ribosomal RNA is filed under the name uncultured Russulaceae. RNAcentral's name for it is "LSU rRNA". It matches the Rfam family "Eukaryotic large subunit ribosomal RNA", at positions 47 to 649 of the family's 3401-position model. Lineage: Eukaryota; Fungi; Basidiomycota; Agaricomycetes; Russulales; Russulaceae. The record is from RNAcentral.
UAAGCGGANGAAANNAACUANNAGGAUUCCCCUAGUAACUGCGAGUGAAGCGGNAAAAGCUCAAAUUUAAAAUCUGGUGGUCUUUGGCCGUCCGAGUUGUAAUUUAGAGAAGCGUCUUUCCGCGCUGGACCGUGCACAAGUCUCCUGGAACGGAGCGUCGUAGAGGGUGAGAAUCCCGUCUUUGGCAUGGACACACCAGGGCUUUUGCGAUGCGCUCUCGAAGAGUCGAGUUGUUUGGGAAUGCAGCUCAAAAUGGGUGGUGAACUCCAUCUAAAGCUAAAUAUUGGCGAGAGACCGAUAGCGAACAAGUACCGUGAGGGAAAGAUGAAAAGCACUUUGGAAAGAGAGUGAAACAGUACGUGAAAUUGUUGAAAGGGAAACGCUUGAAGUCAGUCGCGUCGUCCGAGACUCAGCCUCGCCUCGGCUUGGCGUACUUCUCGGCCCGACGGGUCAGCAUCAAUUUCGCCUCUCGGAUAAUGGCGAGGGAAAAGUGACACCUUUACGGUGUGUUAUAGUCUCUCGUCGCAUGCGAGGGUCGGGAUUGAGGAACUCAGCACGCGCCCUCGGGCGUCGGGGCCUUCGCCCACGAUACGUGCUUAGGAUGUUGGCGUAAUGGCUUUAAACGACC